RNAcentral lists this non-coding RNA (130 nucleotides) under Bacillus sp. (in: firmicutes). Its description in RNAcentral is "Bacillus sp. SAM-I sequence". It matches the Rfam family "SAM riboswitch aptamer (S box leader)". Rfam says of the family: The SAM riboswitch is found upstream of a number of genes which code for proteins involved in methionine or cysteine biosynthesis in Gram-positive bacteria. The SAM riboswitch acts at the level of transcription termination control. The predicted structure consists of a complex stem-loop region followed by a single stem loop terminator region. RNAcentral also lists the same sequence under 1 other name. Lineage: Bacteria; Bacillati; Bacillota; Bacilli; Caryophanales; Bacillaceae. The record is from RNAcentral.
CUCUUAUCCCGAGCUGGCGGAGGGACAGGCCCUAUGAAGCCCAGCAACCUGCAAGACUUGAAAACGUAAUGUUUUCACUCAUGCAAAGGUGCUAACCUGACGCAAGGCUGUAGUCCUUGAGCGAUAAGAG